Molecule: long non-coding RNA, 319 nt
Organism: Tachyglossus aculeatus (Australian echidna)
Lineage: Eukaryota; Metazoa; Chordata; Mammalia; Monotremata; Tachyglossidae
Exons: 3
Source: RefSeq, a predicted model, not a curated record
GCGAGCCACCGGGCCGGGGACGCGCGUGCGCGCGGGCGCGCGCGAGGCUCCCCUUUCCCGGUACCGACAGCGACGGGCAUUUUCUUUGUUUCGUGAGGUUGAGAGAGAGGCCCUCUCACAGCCCCGGGCUGUGCUGCCGUCGUGGGCUCCUCCUGGGACCCGGUAAGAAAGGAGGCCGCGGCUGUUUAAAAAAAACCGGGUGAUUUUCCUGCCCUACCUCGGAGGUGACGGCUUUAUUUUAGGGCACAAGUUAUAUUUUGCGUACUUCAGAGGUGAGAAGAGAAGAAAGAUGAGGUAACUGAGGCACAGAGAAGUUAAG